UACGUAGGGUCCGAGCGUUGUCCGGAAUUAUUGGGCGUAAAGGGCUCGUAGGCGGUCUGUUGCGUCGGGAGUGAAAACUCAGGGCUUAACUGGGGGCGUGCGGGCGAUACGGGCAGACUGGAGUACUGCAGGGGAGACUGGAAUUCCUGGUGUAGCGGUGGAAUGCGCAGAUAUCAGGAGGAACACCGGUGGCGAAGGCGGGGUCUCUGGG
This 211-nucleotide ribosomal RNA is filed under the name uncultured bacterium. RNAcentral's name for it is "partial 16S ribosomal RNA". It matches the Rfam family "Bacterial small subunit ribosomal RNA", at positions 524 to 733 of the family's 1533-position model. The record is from RNAcentral.